CGCGCCGGCCGGACCGCCGCUCCGCUCGCGGAGAGGAAAGUCCGGACACCGCAGGGCACCCCGCUCCGUGAAAACGGAGGCGCCUCCGGGCGACGACACGUGCAACAGAGAACAGACCAGCCGAUGGCCCUCCGGGGCACAGGUGAUGGGUGAAACGGUGGGGUAAGAGCCCACCAGCGCGCUCGGGCGACCGACGCGGCUAGGCAAACUCCGGGGGGUGCAAGGCCACGCAGCGCUCUCGUCGCGAGACGAGCGGACGGCCCGUCCGAUGAGCGCGGGUAGGCCGCGCAGAUAGAUGGCGGUCCAGGGCUUCGGCCCGGACAGAAUCCGGCUUACAGGCCGGCGCGCGCG
Molecule: RNase P RNA, 351 nt
Filed under: Bacteroidota bacterium
Lineage: Bacteria; Pseudomonadati; Bacteroidota
Description: Bacteroidetes bacterium (marine metagenome) RNase P RNA component class A
Rfam family: Bacterial RNase P class A
About the family: Ribonuclease P (RNase P) is a ubiquitous endoribonuclease, found in archaea, bacteria and eukarya as well as chloroplasts and mitochondria. Its best characterised activity is the generation of mature 5'-ends of tRNAs by cleaving the 5'-leader elements of precursor-tRNAs. Cellular RNase Ps are ribonucleoproteins.
Source: RNAcentral